Non-coding RNA from Agromyces sp. Leaf222, 72 nucleotides. The record is from Rfam. NCBI's taxonomy places the organism in Bacteria, Bacillati, Actinomycetota, Actinomycetes, Micrococcales, Microbacteriaceae.
GCCUCUGUAGCUCAAUGGAAGAGCAGUUCCGUCCUAAGGAAAGGGUUGGGGGUUCGAGUCCCUCCAGGGGCA